Molecule: ribosomal RNA, 262 nt
Filed under: Escherichia coli
Lineage: Bacteria; Pseudomonadati; Pseudomonadota; Gammaproteobacteria; Enterobacterales; Enterobacteriaceae
Description: partial 16S ribosomal RNA
Rfam family: Bacterial small subunit ribosomal RNA
Source: RNAcentral
AAAUUGAAGAGUUUGAUCAUGGCUCAGAUUGAACGCUGGCGGCAGGCCUAACACAUGCAAGUCGAACGGUAACAGGAAACAGCUUGCUGUUUCGCUGACGAGUGGCGGACGGGUGAGUAAUGUCUGGGAAACUGCCUGAUGGAGGGGGAUAACUACUGGAAACGGUAGCUAAUACCGCAUAACGUCGCAAGACCAAAGAGGGGGACCUUCAGGCCUCUUGCCAUCGGAUGUGCCCAGAUGGGAUUAGCUAGUAGGUGGGGUA